GAUGAACGCUGGCGGCGUGCGUAAUACAUGCAAGUCGAGCGAACGGACGAGAAGCUUGCUUCUCUGAUGUUAGCGGCGGACGGGUGAGUAACACGUGGAUAACCUACCUAUAAGACUGGGAUAACUUCGGGAAACCGGAGCUAAUACCGGAUGAUAUUUUGAACCGCAUGGUUCAAAAGUGAAAGACGGUCUUGCUGUCACUUAUAGAUGGAUCCGCGCUGCAUUAGCUAGUUGGUAAGGUAACGGCUUACCAAGGCAACGAUGCAUAGCCGACCUGAGAGGGUGAUCGGCCACACUGGAACUGAGACACGGUCCAGACUCCUACGGGAGGCAGCAGUAGGGAAUCUUCCGCAAUGGGCGAAAGCCUGACGGAGCAACGCCGCGUGAGUGAUGAAGGUCUUCGGAUCGUAAAACUCUGUUAUUAGGGAAGAACAUAUGUGUAAGUAACUGUGCACAUCUUGACGGUACCUAAUCAGAAAGCCACGGCUAACUACGUG
This 497-nucleotide ribosomal RNA is filed under the name uncultured bacterium. RNAcentral's name for it is "partial 16S ribosomal RNA". It matches the Rfam family "Bacterial small subunit ribosomal RNA", at positions 28 to 507 of the family's 1533-position model. The record is from RNAcentral.